RNAcentral lists this ribosomal RNA (454 nucleotides) under uncultured eukaryote. RNAcentral describes it as "bacterial SSU rRNA". It matches the Rfam family "Eukaryotic small subunit ribosomal RNA", at positions 727 to 1121 of the family's 1831-position model. The record is from RNAcentral.
GCGAGGGACGGCGCCGCCCCGGGGCUCGUGAUAUCUUAUCUCGCCGCCCGUCGCGAGGCGGACGGAGGGAUGGAUGAGGUUACCUGGAAAAAAUCGGGGCGAUCUAGGCGGGCGAACCUCGCCAACGAACGAUCGGACAUGGGAUAACGGAAGAGGGCGUCGGCUCGACUUCGUCGGUUCCUCGGGCCGAGGCACGUACGGUGAAUAGGGACGGUCGGGGCCGCCCGUACCGGGUCGUGAGAGGUGAAAUUCUAGGAUCGACCGAGACGAACUGCCGCGAAAGCAUUCGGCAAGGACGCUUUCAUUAAUCAAGAACGAAAGUCGGGGGAUCGAAGACGAUCAGAUACCGUCGUAGUCCCGACCGUAAACGAUGCCGACCGAGGGCCCGGAGGAGUUACGUACGACCCCUCCGGGCCCUCCCGCGAGAAAUCAGGAGUAUUCGGGUUCCGGGGGG